This 414-nucleotide ribosomal RNA is filed under the name uncultured microorganism. RNAcentral's name for it is "bacterial SSU rRNA". It matches the Rfam family "Archaeal small subunit ribosomal RNA", at positions 459 to 872 of the family's 1478-position model. The record is from RNAcentral.
CAGCCGCCGCGGUAAUACCGGCGGCCCGAGUGGCGGUCACUAUUAUUGGGCUUAAAGCGUCCGUAGCCGGGUUGGGAAGUCCUCCGGGAAAUCUGGCCGCUUAACGGUCAGAAUGCCGGAGGAUACUCCCAGCCUAGGGAGCGGGGGAGGCCGAGGGUAUUCCCGGAGUAGGGGGGAAAUCCUAUAAUCCCGGGAGGACCACCUGGGGCGAAGGCGCUCGGCUGGGACGCGUCCGACGGUGAGGGACGAAGGCCAGGGGAGCAAACCGGAUUAGAUACCCGGGUAGUCCUGGCUGUAAACGAUGCGGACUUUGUGUCGGACAAGCUAUGAGCUUGUCCGGUGCCGGAGGGAAACCGUUAAGUCCGCCGCCUGGGGAGUACGGCCGCAAGGCUGAAACUUAAAGGAAUUGGCGGG